This 772-nucleotide non-coding RNA is filed under the name Eusphalerum torquatum. Lineage: Eukaryota; Metazoa; Arthropoda; Insecta; Coleoptera; Staphylinidae. The record is from RNAcentral.
UAAAAGUUUUAAUUUAGCUUAAAAAAUAAGUACAUAUUAUUUUUACAUGUAUAUUAAAAAAAAAAUAUAUUUUUAAAUAAAAUUUAUUAAUUUAGCAGUAAUUAAUUUUAUAUAUUAAAGAAAUUUAGAUUUUGAUAUAUAUUAUAAUAUUAACAAAAUUUGUGCCAGCAGUUGCGGUUAUACAAAUAAUAUAAUUUAUUUAUAUUAAAUUAUAAUUAAUUUUAAAUUUAUUUAAAUAUUAAUUUAAAAUUAUUAAGUGAAAUUUUAAUUUUAAAAAAUAUUUUAAAUAAUUAUUUGAUGUUAUUAAAUUUAAAUUUAAACUAGGAUUAGAUACCCUAUUAUUAUAAAUGUAAAUUUAAAAUUUAAAUUAUUAUAAGUUAUAGUCUUUAAAGUUAAAAAUUUUGGCGGUAUUUUAGUCUAUUCAGAGGAACCUGUUCUAUAAUUGAUAAUCCACGAUUUAUAAUACUUAUUUUAAAUAAUUUGUAUAUCGUCGUAGUUUGAAUAUUUUAAAAGAAUUUAAAUGUUCAUAAUUUUUUAUUUAAAAAUAAAUCAGAUCAAGGUGCAGUUUAUAAAUAAGUAGAAAUGGGUUACAAUAAUAUUAAUUUUGGCAUUAAAGUUUAAAUAUUUUAAUUAAAUUGGAUUUGAAAGUAAUAUAAAUAAAUUAAUUUAUAUAAUUUAAGCUCUAAAAUAUGUACAUAUCGCCCGUCACUCUCAUUCAAAAUUAGAUAAGUCGUAACAAAGUAGAGGUACUGGAAAGUGUUUCUAGAAAGAC